Molecule: unclassified non-coding RNA, 403 nt
Filed under: soil metagenome
Description: partial contains 5.8S ribosomal RNA, internal transcribed spacer 2, and large subunit ribosomal RNA
Rfam family: 5.8S ribosomal RNA (bases 1-121)
Source: RNAcentral
GAUGAAGAACGUAGCGAAAUGCGAUAAGUAAUGUGAAUUGCAGAAUUCAGUGAAUCAUCGAAUCUUUGAACGCACCUUGCGCCCUUUGGCCAUUCCGAAGGGCAUGCCUGUUUGAGUAUCAUGAACACCUCAACUCUUCAUGGUUUUCCAUGAUGAGCUUGGACUCUGGGGGUCUUGCUGGCUUUACGGUCAGCUCCUCUCAAAUAAAUCAGCUUGCCGGUGUUUGGUGGGAUCACAGGUGUGAUAACUAUCUACGCUUGUGGUUUUCCGCCAGGUAACCUUCAGCAAUGGAGGUUCGCUGGAGCUCAUAAAUGUCUCUCCUCAGCGAGGACAGAUUUUGACCGUUUGAUCUCAAAUCAGGUAGGACUACCCGCUGAACUUAAGCAUAUCAAUAAGCGGAGGA